GAACAUAAGAGUUUGAUCCUGGCUCAGAUUGAACGCUGGCGGCAUGCUUUACACAUGCAAGUCGGACGGCAGCACAGAGAAGCUUGCUUCUUGGGUGGCGAGUGGCGAACGGGUGAGUAACAUAUCGGAACGUACCGAGUAGUGGGGGAUAACUGAUCGAAAGAUCAGCUAAUACCGCAUACGUCUUGAGAGGGAAAGCAGGGGACCUUCGGGCCUUGCGCUAUUCGAGCGGCCGAUAUCUGAUUAGCUGGUUGGUGGGGUAAAGGCUCACCAAGGCGACGAUCAGUAGCGGGUCUGAGAGGAUGAUCCGCCACACUGGGACUGAGACACGGCCCAGACUCCUACGGGAGGCAGCAGUGGGGAAUUUUGGACAAUGGGCGCAAGCCUGAUCCAGCCAUGCCGCGUGUCUGAAGAAGGCCUUCGGGUUGUAAAGGACUUUUGUCAGGGAAGAAAAGGCUGUUGCUAAUAUCAGCGGCUGAUGACGGUACCUGAAGAAUAAGCACCGGCUAACUACGUGCCAGCAGCCGCGGUAAUACGUAGGGUGCGAGCGUUAAUCGGAAUUACUGGGCGUAAAGCGGGCGCAGACGGUUACUUAAGCAGGAUGUGAAAUCCCCGGGCUCAACCCGGGAACUGCGUUCUGAACUGGGUGACUCGAGUGUGUCAGAGGGAGGUAGAAUUCCACGUGUAGCAGUGAAAUGCGUAGAGAUGUGGAGGAAUACCGAUGGCGAAGGCAGCCUCCUGGGAUAACACUGACGUUCAUGCCCGAAAGCGUGGGUAGCAAACAGGAUUAGAUACCCUGGUAGUCCACGCCCUAAACGAUGUCAAUUAGCUGUUGGGCAACUUGAUUGCUUGGUAGCGUAGCUAACGCGUGAAAUUGACCGCCUGGGGAGUACGGUCGCAAGAUUAAAACUCAAAGGAAUUGACGGGGACCCGCACAAGCGGUGGAUGAUGUGGAUUAAUUCGAUGCAACGCGAAGAACCUUACCUGGUCUUGACAUGUACGGAAUCCUCCAGAGACGGAGGAGUGCCUUCGGGAGCCGUAACACAGGUGCUGCAUGGCUGUCGUCAGCUCGUGUCGUGAGAUGUUGGGUUAAGUCCCGCAACGAGCGCAACCCUUGUCAUUAGUUGCCAUCAUUCAGUUGGGCACUCUAAUGAGACUGCCGGUGACAAGCCGGAGGAAGGUGGGGAUGACGUCAAGUCCUCAUGGCCCUUAUGACCAGGGCUUCACACGUCAUACAAUGGUCGGUACAGAGGGUAGCCAAGCCGCGAGGUGGAGCCAAUCUCACAAAACCGAUCGUAGUCCGGAUUGCACUCUGCAACUCGAGUGCAUGAAGUCGGAAUCGCUAGUAAUCGCAGGUCAGCAUACUGCGGUGAAUACGUUCCCGGGUCUUGUACACACCGCCCGUCACACCAUGGGAGUGGGGGAUACCAGAAGUAGGUAGGGUAACCGCAAGGAGUCCGCUUACCACGGUAUGCUUCAUGACUGGGGUGAAGUCGUAACAAGGUAGCCGUAGGGGAACCUGCGGCUGGAUCACCUCCUUU
RNAcentral lists this ribosomal RNA (1541 nucleotides) under Neisseria meningitidis. RNAcentral's name for it is "bacterial SSU rRNA". It matches the Rfam family "Bacterial small subunit ribosomal RNA". The record is from RNAcentral. Lineage: Bacteria; Pseudomonadati; Pseudomonadota; Betaproteobacteria; Neisseriales; Neisseriaceae.